UCAAACUAAGAUUCUUUAAUACUCAAAACCAAAAUUUUAACCCUGAAAGUAAAAAACCCAUCCCACUUAAUCACACUAAUAAAGUACAAGAUAUUAAAAAAAAAAAAAAGCACACACUUCCUUAGAUACGAUCACAGUUGAACGUCGAAUCAAGCUGCUUCAACAAACCAAGAUAGGUCCAGUACACAAUUCAAUCCUUGGCCCCAGUCCUGUGCUUUUUAUUGUGCUUGAAGAAGUACUUAAGGUGAUCCAAGGUUAAAUGUCCUAAGGAUUGAGUUAACAGCAAAAGUAGCCAGUUAAUCUUAAUUUUCUUCUUAGAAACAAGCUUAGCGACUUCGUCCUGUCAGCUCUCAGUUGUGAAAGUAAGACCUAUGUGAGCUUUUGUCGGUGAAGAUAUAUAUAUAUAUUAUUUUAUUUUAUUUUAAUCACCCUAUUUGCUUUGCCAAAAAAAUCACUUACAGAUGGUCUUAUUACAAUCAAUAAAUAUUUCAAAAUAAAGGCAACUUAACAAUAAAAUAAAACUCAACCACUUGAUGUCAUUUAUACAACUAAACACUAUACUUGAGAAAAAAAAUAAAUUUGCAUGAAAUAAAAAAAGAUGCCAGAGAUUACUUCAACCGGGCUUAUUACACCCCACACCGAGUCACCAACAUCCGAUGGUGCGAGAUCAGCGGUCUAGCUUCAAUCUCAAACUGGGAAAGCCAAUUUCCGUCAAACUGAGUAAAUACCUUUAAAUCUCUAUAAAACCCUAACCCCAAAAAUAAUUUAGGCUUAUCAAGAGAGAGAGUAUGAGGCAUAGCGAUAAUUUAGGCUUAACUCUAAUUUCCCAACCCUUAAUAUCUUUAGGUCAAGAGAGAAAGAGUAGGAGGCCUAGGGUUGGGGCGUACUCCCUAUAAGUCUUUAGGAGAGAGAGGGUUACAGAGAGAAACCCUAAGGAGAGAGAUGAGAGAGAGAGAAAGAGUGGUGGGAGAGAGAAGGUGUAGAGAGUAGAGGAGGGUACACCCCUAUUUAUAGUACAAAGUUAAGUUUAGGGUUUCUCACAGUUUGUCUUUUUCUUGAGAUUGAAUAUGGACCGUUGAUCAAGGUGUCUUGUAGGGUGAGAGAUCUGAGCCAUCCAUUCUAUAAAUGGGGUCAUCAACAUUAUGAAAGGUGCAUAGACCAUUAUCCCCCUUUCCUUAAACCAUUUUCCCAUUAAUAGAUUUAAAUAAAUUAAAUCUAUUAAAAUAUCAUGCAUUCCAUAAAAUUGCAUAAUCCAUCUCAUAUGUUCUGUAAAAAUAUUUCAAAAGAUAUCAAGUUAAUAUUUGCUAUCUCAAUUAGAUAAGAUAUGGUCAAAAUAUAUCAUAUUUCAAUUUGACCACAUGCAUCAAGAUAUAAUUACCAAAGUUAGAUUUCUUGAUUUCAAAGCAAUGAGAGGGAAACAUGCAAGGGGUGGGGCGUGCCACCCAUAUGUGGAACAUAUGGGCCCCACCCACUUGUCACAUGGUGGGCCCAUGUGCACUUUAGGUCCCCCAUGAGAUUUUACAAAUAAUUUUAAAACCUUAUUUGAAUUUUAUACUUUUGUAAAAUCAAUUAUUUCAUUUUUAUAAGUCAAAAAAUCAUAAAUAAAAUAUUAAAA
Molecule: long non-coding RNA, 1615 nt
Filed under: Amborella trichopoda
Lineage: Eukaryota; Viridiplantae; Streptophyta; Magnoliopsida; Amborellales; Amborellaceae
Description: long non-coding RNA (ATRI_LNC004594)
Source: RNAcentral